UACAGGGGUCUCAAGCGUUGUUCGGAUUCAUUGGGCGUAAAGGGUGCGUAGGCGGCGCGGUAAGUCGGGUGUGAAAUCUCGGGGCUUAACUCCGAAACUGCAUUCGAUACUGCCGUUCUUGAGGACUGGAGAGGAGACUGGAAUUUACGGUGUAGCGGUGAAAUGCGUAGAUAUCGUAAGGAAGACCAGUGGCGAAGGCGGGUCUCUGGACAGUUCCUGACGCUGAGGCACGAAGGCCAGGGGAGCAAACGGG
This 253-nucleotide ribosomal RNA is filed under the name uncultured bacterium. RNAcentral's name for it is "partial 16S ribosomal RNA". It matches the Rfam family "Bacterial small subunit ribosomal RNA", at positions 524 to 776 of the family's 1533-position model. The record is from RNAcentral.